GUUCGAGCCCCGCGCGAUGCGAACCGCCAAACCCGGUCAGGCCCGGAAGGGAGCAGCCGUCAGGAGGACCUCGCAGGCGCCGCGGGUCCACUUGAACCGG
This 100-nucleotide signal recognition particle RNA is filed under the name Acidobacteria bacterium 13_1_20CM_2_68_14. Its description in RNAcentral is "signal recognition particle sRNA small type". It matches the Rfam family "Bacterial small signal recognition particle RNA". From Rfam's summary of the family: The signal recognition particle (SRP) is a universally conserved ribonucleoprotein involved in the co-translational targeting of proteins to membranes. Archaeal SRP consists of a 7S RNA and homologues of the eukaryotic SRP19 and SRP54 proteins. Lineage: Bacteria; Pseudomonadati; Acidobacteriota. RNAcentral also lists the same sequence under 1 other name. The record is from RNAcentral.